This 2888-nucleotide ribosomal RNA is filed under the name human gut metagenome. RNAcentral describes it as "bacterial LSU rRNA". The stretch from base 2044 to 2877 matches the Rfam family "Bacterial large subunit ribosomal RNA", at positions 2045 to 2912 of the family's 2925-position model. The record is from RNAcentral.
UGGUAUCUUCAUUUUAUGAGAUAUGACCCGGCUAAAGCCAUGAAAAAAAUAAAAUGUCCGGUACUUGCCUUAAACGGAGAAAAGGACAUUCAAGUGGAGGCGGCUAUGAACCUUACGGCUAUCCAACAAAGAAUCAGCGAGAACGGGAAUAAGAAUGUAACGGUAAAAGCCUACCCGAACUUAAAUCAUCUGUUUCAAACCUGUGAAAAAGGAACAUUGGCGGAGUAUGGGCAGCUAGAAGAAACCAUUAGCCCGGAAGUUCUAAAAGAUAUAACAGACUGGAUUCUUAAACAUUCAGGAAAGAGCAAUUGAAAAGGCAAUCUCUAUUAAUAAAAAAAACCGCAAUAAUAUUAUUAUAAACACAAUUAUUAAAAUCCAUAGUCUUACAUACGCAGCAUUGUAUAAAUUGACUUAAAUCAAAAUAUUUCACACCGAACUCACUCUGCCCGAUUUUGUUUUACCUUUGCACCCGCAAAAAAGAAAAAGGUAAAAAGUUACAGGUAUCAGGUUAAGUUUGGUAUGAAAAAGAGUCUUAUCGCAUUGGCGUUCGGCACCCUGGGAUUAGGUAUUGCCGAAUUUGUAAUGAUGGGUAUUUUGCCCGAUGUGGCAAAAGAUUUAGGGAUCAGUAUCCCUAUGGCGGGACAUUUCAUUUCCGCUUAUGCAUUAGGCGUCUGUGUGGGUGCCCCCGUGUUGACAUUAGCCCGCAAAUAUCCGUUGAAACAUAUUCUGCUGGUAUUAGUUACCCUGAUUAUGAUAGGUAAUAUCUGUGCUGCAACAGCUCCCAAUUAUUGGAUAUUGCUUGCUGCGCGCUUCAUCUCCGGACUACCGCACGGAGCAUAUUUCGGCGUCGGCUCCAUUGUUGCCGAAAGACUGGCUGAUAAAGGGAAAGGUUCGGAAGCCGUUUCGAUUAUGAUUGCCGGAAUGACCAUUGCCAACCUAUUCGGUGUCCCAUUGGGAACUUCUCUCAGCACCAUGCUUUCCUGGCGUGCCACUUUCCUGUUGGUCGGCAUCUGGGGAAUCGUUAUCCUGUAUUACAUCUGGCGCUGGGUACCUCACGUAGAAGGCUUGAAGGAUACCGGCUUUAAAGGACAAUUCCAUUUCUUGAAGACUCCGGCUCCCUGGCUCAUUCUCGGUGCUACGGCGUUAGGCAACGGUGGCGUAUUCUGUUGGUACAGCUAUAUCAACCCUAUGCUGACGAAUAUUUCCGGUUUCUCCACCGAAAGUAUUACUCCGCUGAUGAUUCUUGCCGGAUUCGGUAUGGUCAUGGGAAAUCUUAUCAGCGGGCGCCUCUCCGACCGCUAUACACCCGGAAAAGUGGGAACUGCCGCACAAGCAUUAAUAUGCCUUAUGCUACUUCUCAUUUUCUUCCUUUCUCCCUACAAAUGGACGGCUGCUAUACUGAUGUGCCUUUGCACGGCAGGGUUGUUUGCCGUAUCCAGCCCCGAACAAAUACUGAUUAUCCGUGUGGCAAAAGGCGGCGAGAUGUUGGGGGCUGCCUGCGUACAGGUCGCAUUCAAUCUGGGAAAUGCCAUUGGCGCUUAUGCAGGGGGAUUGACUGUUAGUGAAGGCUAUCGUUACCCCGCCCUCACAGGUGUUCCUUUCGCACUGACCGGAUUCAUCCUGUUUCUGAUUUUUUAUAAGAAAUAUCAGGCCAGAUACUAAAGGAGGUAACUAAUUCAAAGUUAGCACAUAUUUACUCCUCAUAGUUAAUAAAGUCAUGCAUAACGAGUACUAAUUAAUAAUAUCCGAACAACUAAAUCUUAGAGAGAUUAAGAUUAAUUUAUUUCGCUCGCGUCUUGUAUCAACUCAUACCAUACAUAUUAGAAUUUAUCACAAUUGUAUUUUCUUCCCCUUUUACUUGAAAAUCAAUAAUUUAUUUUUAUCUUUGUGAGAAGUGUGAGUCUUUCGUUUCUAAUCACCUUCAAAAACGACGAAUAUGAAACAACAGUAUCUGUUCGACUGCUUCUCGCAGCAAGCGUUGCAAACCCUGCAUCGCUACCGUGCUGUUAUGUUUAGUCCUACCCUCCGUACUAUGUAAAUUGCAAUUUGAGAUUCUUUUUUCACAUUUUCUCCAUUUACAUAAUUCAGAUUCUUAUGGCCUUAACGCUGAAUUUGGGUACACAAUGUGUAGGAUAGGCCGGAGGCUUUGAAGCGGGCACGCCAGUGUUCGUGGAGCCGACGUUGAAAUACGGCCCUUUGUGUAUUUGAGUUCUAACCCUGCGAAGGGGACACCGUUUGGUGGGUAGUUUGACUGGGGUGGUCGCCUCCAAAAGCGUAACGGAGGCUUCCCAAGGUACCCUCAGCACGAAUGGUAACCGUGCGCGGAGUGCAAUAGCAUAAGGGUGCUUGACUGUGAGACAUACAAGUCGACCAGGUACGAAAGUAGGGUAUAGUGAUCCGGUGGUUCUGCGUGGACUGGCCAUCGCUCAAAGGAUAAAAGGUACUCCGGGGAUAACAGGCUGAUCGCCGCCAAGAGCUCAUAUCGACGCGGCGGUUUGGCACCUCGAUGUCGGCUCGUCACAUCCUGGGGCUGGAGAAGGUCCCAAGGGUUCGGCUGUUCGCCGAUUAAAGUGGCACGCGAGCUGGGUUCAGAACGUCGUGAGACAGUUCGGUCUCUAUCUGUUGCGGGCGUAGGAAGAUUGAGGGGUCCUGACUUUAGUACGAGAGGACCGAGUUGGACGAACCUCCGGUGUAUCGGUUAUGCUGCCAAGUGUACUGCCGAGUAGCCGCGUUCGGUCUGGAUAAGCGCUGAAAGCAUCUAAGCGCGAAGCCAUCCCCAAGAUAAGUCUUCCCUUGAGGGGCGUAGGAGACUACUACGUUGAUAGGCUGCAGGUGUAAAGACAGCAAUGUCAAAGCCGAGCAGUACUAAUUACCCGAUAGGCUUUCUU